AUUGAACGCUGGCGGCAUGCCUUACACAUGCAAGUCGAACGGCAGCACGGGACCUUGCUCCUGGUGGCGAGUGGCGAACGGGUGAGUAAUACAUCGGAACGUGCCCAAUCGUGGGGGAUAACGUAGCGAAAGCUACGCUAAUACCGCAUACGAUCUACGGAUGAAAGCGGGGGAUCGCAAGACCUCGCGCGAAUGGAGCGGCCGAUGGCAGAUUAGGUAGUUGGUGGGGUAAAGGCUCACCAAGCCAACGAUCUGUAGCUGGUCUGAGAGGACGACCAGCCACACUGGGACUGAGACACGGCCCAGACUCCUACGGGAGGCAGCAGUGGGGAAUUUUGGACAAUGGGCGAAAGCCUGAUCCAGCCAUUCCGCGUGCAGGAUGAAGGCCUUCGGGUUGUAAAACUACUGUCGGAGGGACGAAGGGGCGAACCCUGACGGUACCUCGCAAGAAAGCACCGGCUAACUCUGUGCCAGCAGCCGCGGUAAU
This 487-nucleotide ribosomal RNA is filed under the name uncultured bacterium. RNAcentral describes it as "bacterial SSU rRNA". It matches the Rfam family "Bacterial small subunit ribosomal RNA", at positions 29 to 524 of the family's 1533-position model. The record is from RNAcentral.